This is a long non-coding RNA of Panicum virgatum (switchgrass), 1287 nucleotides long. RefSeq lists it as uncharacterized. The record is from RefSeq and is a predicted model, not a curated record. Lineage: Eukaryota; Viridiplantae; Streptophyta; Magnoliopsida; Poales; Poaceae. The transcript is spliced from 8 exons.
CCUAAUGAAGCUGUUUCUCGAAGUAUGCAAGCUCACGCUUCAUGUGCUAGGGAAAUUUGGGUUAACCAUGUCUAUUGUCAAGAUUGAUAUAGAAGGCAGUAUCAUAUUUAUGGCAACACAUUGGUGAUGUUCUUGAGCAGAGGCCGGAGACAGAAUAUGCAUAUUAAAAAGUAGGAGCAGCUGCAUGGCAUGGUGAAAGUAGAAGUUAGCACAAAGACUGACGAAAGUUCUAGCAGUUGUAACAACGAUCUUCUCUAGCUGACAAGCGACGGUAGCCAAAUGCGGGGGGGCUCGAGUUCCUGGAUGUUGUGAAGCUCCUGGAAUCUGAGGGUGACCACUGGAUGCCUGCGCCCGCCGCCGACUCCGCAUGUCGAUGCCGUCCCGCACGAUGUUGCCUCCACACGUCAUUUGCUCCGGCCGUCGCCGGCAUCGCACGCCAUCCAGGGUCUCCCCAUCCUCCACCAGCACCUCGCUUCUCUGACCUGACUAGCUGCGGGCGUGCAUGUCUCUCUCCCAUGUUGUGUGACCGCAUCACCAUGUCAUUCAAAAUCAAGAUCGAUUUCUUUCUCCAAUGGAAAAGCUAUCCAGGACAUCAGCAGUUUUACUAUUGCCUUUGACAGUGAAGUUCAGAACUUCAGAUCAGUCUAAGGCACAGUCGUGUCUGAAUCCAAUUGAUCUUCCAUCGUAUGGCACCUGAUCAAGAUUAAUGAAUGAGAUGGUGCUUUCUACGGUCCAAAAAUUGAUAUUGGUGUGUUUGAUGCCCUCAAGAGGAAAUUUCAAUGUGCAACCCUACAGCUGGAUUUUCAGCUCCCCCUUCGCUUCAAGCUGACUUACUCUGCCGAGGAUGAAGCCAAACUUGAAAGACCUGUGAUGAUACACAGAGCAAUCUUAGGAUCCGUUGAAAGGAUGUUUGCCAUUCUUUUUGAGCAUUACAAUGGUAAAUGGCCCUUGUGGCUAAGCCCUCGCCAGGUCAUUGUUUGCUCAGUAUCUUUUGGUUCAGCGGAAUAUGGAAAACAGGUCCUUGCCAGGCUACAUGAAGCUGAUUUUCAUGUUGACAUUGACAUUAGUGACAGAACAAUCCAAAAGAAGGUACUUCCCAGCAGCAACAGAAGCCCAGGGCAGGACGGGACAGCCCAGCCCAGCCCAGCCCACCUUGUUGAGGCUCAGGAGGAGGCCCACCCACCUUGUUUGCUUGCUGUUGCUGCAGUCCGUCCAUCAGCUUAUUAAUCAUCAGAAUCAGAGGUGCUUACUGGAUAAUCGAUUGUCAUCUGUGAGGUCUGAAAAUCA